RNAcentral lists this ribosomal RNA (523 nucleotides) under Fusarium equiseti. RNAcentral's name for it is "eukaryotic LSU rRNA". The stretch from base 183 to 336 matches the Rfam family "5.8S ribosomal RNA". The record is from RNAcentral. Lineage: Eukaryota; Fungi; Ascomycota; Sordariomycetes; Hypocreales; Nectriaceae.
CCUUCCGUAGGUGAACCUGCGGAGGGAUCAUUACCGAGUUUACAACUCCCAAACCCCUGUGAACAUACCUAUACGUUGCCUCGGCGGAUCAGCCCGCGCCCCGUAAAACGGGACGGCCCGCCCGAGGACCCCUAAACUCUGUUUUUAGUGGAACUUCUGAGUAAAACAAACAAAUAAAUCAAAACUUUCAACAACGGAUCUCUUGGUUCUGGCAUCGAUGAAGAACGCAGCAAAAUGCGAUAAGUAAUGUGAAUUGCAGAAUUCAGUGAAUCAUCGAAUCUUUGAACGCACAUUGCGCCCGCCAGUAUUCUGGCGGGCAUGCCUGUUCGAGCGUCAUUUCAACCCUCAAGCUCAGCUUGGUGUUGGGACUCGCGGUAACCCGCGUUCCCCAAAUCGAUCGGCGGUCACGUCGAGCUUCCAUAGCGUAGUAAUCAUACACCUCGUUACUGGUAAUCGUCGCGGCCACGCCGUUACACCCCAACUUCACUAAUAUCACCUCGGAUCAGGUCGGAAACCCGCCCCU